UUCCGUGUUAUGCAGCAGUGGCAGGGAAGCUGACAACGUAAACAGUAGUUUUACCCAACAUUAGGUCUCUUUUGCAAAACCUACAUGGAUAACACCUCAAAUAACUGAAUCAGUAUCAUUUUAUGCAUCAGUUGAGAUAAUUGCAAGAUGUCUAGUAAAGAAGUGAAAACAGCACUGAAAAGUGCCAGAGAGGCCAUAAAGAACAAGGAGUUCAAAGAAGCUCUAAAACACUGCAAGCUCUGACAAAAAUAAAUGUUAUGAGAUGAUCAAAAAGCUGUCAGAUAUCCAUCAGUCUGACAAAGAAUAUUUAAAGCUGGCAAAGGUUUGGCUGCAGCUCCUUCACCUGAAGGAGGAAGAAGCCGUGGACAAGAAAGAGUUACUGCAGCUGUGGCAGCAGAUGUCCCAACUCCUCUCAUACUGCCCUGAUGAGGAAGAGCAGGACAAUGAAACUCAGCAGCAUCUAAUCAUUGCAUUUGAAAAGGCUAUGGUGCUCAUGGAUCCCGUACCAGGAGAGGAACACAAGAAGGUCUCAGCUGACUAUAUCAAAUGUCUUUCUAAACUGCCACAAGAAGAAGCUAAAAUGAAAGAGGCAUGUGAGUCCAUGCUGUCCCUCUACCCCAGACAAAGUUAUCCUCUUGAAGUCCUUUGUUCUCACUACCUCAGAACAGGUGUUCAGAAUGAGGAUGCUGUCAGCUGUUUCUCCCGGCUGCUCAGUCUGGCUCCUAACAGUAGAUUAGGUCACUAGGGUCUGGGCACCAAAGCACUACAAGAAGGGAGGUAUCAAGAUGCCAUCAAGGACCUUGCACAAGGGUUGAAGAAAAUGAGCUCCAGUACAGGAUGGUGCAGUCUGGCUGAAGCUCAGUUUAAAAUGCACAGAUACUCAGACAGUGCUAUAUCAUGCUCUCAAGGUCUGACAGUCUGUGUUUCCGGAGACUCAGAGCUGAGGAUCAAACUGCUUUAGAUGAAGCUAGAGGCUUUAGUCAAGAGUGGAGGAGAAGCACCUGGAGACCAGGCUUUGGAGACAUUUUCACAGUCCAGAUGCUAAGAAAAAGACCCAGUUCUAGUAACCCUGAAAGGUCGUGCAUACCUUAACAAGGGACAAGUUGAUCAAGCACUAAAGGUGUCAUCAGAGCUGAUGGCCUUGAACCCUAACCUGGCUCAGGGGCUGGUACUGAGAGGACUGGCACAUUUGGCGCAGGGCAAGCAGCAGCUGGCAGAGGAGAGUUUCCUAGCUAGUUUGCGGCUAGCCAGAGCCCAGGCUGUGGAGAGUACUAUUUCUUGCUGGGACGACUCUACUGGGACGACUCUACUGGGACAUGGGAGAAUAGACCCGUAAAGACCGUACCAAAGCCCAUACACAUUUGCUCAAGGCUGCAAAGUUAGACCCAAACCUUGGUUGUGUAUUCUGCUACCUUGGACAUUAUUACCGGGAGGUGGCAAAUGAUCACGUCCGUGCACGGGUCUGGAGCUGCCUCAGUGGAUCUCAGUAUGGAGCAGGACGAUAUGGACACUGCCUUAGCAAGCAAGAAUGCCACUCCAGGCUCAGCUAAGUGGGCUUGGAUGAGACGAGGGCUUUACCACCUGAAGGUCGGAGAGCACAAGCAAGCUACAGCUGAGUGGGCGUCCCAGGAAGCGACUGGUCGGACCUGAUCCUAGAAGCCACCACUGAGGUCUUGAAGCUGGGUUCAUCCCCUAUGGCCCUCCUUUUCCAGGCCCUGCUCCAGUAUGUGAACUAGAUGGCUGCUAGGUCAGUGCUUCUCACUGCGUUCUGUGUCCGCUGCAGGUGCACAUGCAUGUUGCAGGCGUGCGCGUUGUUCUGCACAGAUAUGCAAAUGAUCUUAUCCCAUUGGUGUGUAAGUGUAAUGUAUCAUCUUAAGUGAUUAAAUGAAGAAUUUAUGCCUCAAAUUUAUGUCUCCAUCUGUCCUUUCACAAUAUUGGUAGUUUUGGAACUGCAAAGCAAUUUGCAAAGUUUGCUUUCCUGACAUAAUAGCCUUCUGUCACUACCUCACAGGUCUGCCAGGAUGCUUAAUUAGAAUGCUACAUUCAUCAGAGAGCUGACGAGAACAAAUAUGCCAAUCAUGAACUGGCUAAAUUCCUUGAGAUAUGCUGCAGGAACUCCUCCGUGCCAAGCUUAAUCACAAUAUCGGAGGCCAUUCCAUGCCAGAGACAAGUUUCGUAUUAUUGUAUACUGUAUAUUGGAAAAUGUAGAGUGUGCCAGCUAAUUUCAGCUAGACGACAAACCAGAUCAGAAGCUGUCCAAUUCCAUAUGUUUUCAAGAGCGACUGAGCAUGCGUCUUUACAUCAACACAGGCAGCACAAUUAGGAGUAUACACAACUGUCAUUUCAUUCACAAAUGCCACUCCGAAAUGUUAGAUAAAACAUCCAGACGAAGAAAUGCAAAUUAUUUUGGUUUACAAGCAACAAGGCUUAUAUUACAUGCU
Chelmon rostratus (copperband butterflyfish) is the source of this 2441-nucleotide long non-coding RNA. RefSeq lists it as uncharacterized. The transcript has 15 exons. The record is from RefSeq and is a predicted model, not a curated record. NCBI's taxonomy places the organism in Eukaryota, Metazoa, Chordata, Actinopteri, Chaetodontiformes, Chaetodontidae.